CCUACGGGAGGCAGCAGUGAGGAAUAUUGGUCAAUGGGCGAGAGCCUGAACCAGCCAAGUCGCGUGAGGGAGUACUGCCCUAUGGGUUGUAAACCUCUUUUGUCGGGGAGCAAAAGCCGGACGUGUCCGGCUGUGAGAGUACCCGAAGAAAAAGCAUCGGCUAACUCCGUGCCAGCAGCCGCGGUAAUACGGAGGAUGCGAGCGUUAUCCGGAUUUAUUGGGUUUAAAGGGUGCGCAGGCGGAUUUUUAAGUCAGCGGUAAAAUCGUGGGGCUCAACCCCAUCGAGCCGUUGAAACUGGGGAUCUAGAGUGUGCGAGAGGUAUGCGGAAUGCGUGGUGUAGCGGUGAAAUGCAUAGAUAUCACGCAGAACCCCGAUUGCGAAGGCAGCAUACCGGUGCACAACUGACGCUCAGGCACGAAAGCGUGGGUAUCGAACAGGAUUAGAUACCCGGGUAGUC
This 458-nucleotide ribosomal RNA is filed under the name uncultured bacterium. RNAcentral describes it as "partial 16S ribosomal RNA". It matches the Rfam family "Bacterial small subunit ribosomal RNA", at positions 338 to 795 of the family's 1533-position model. The record is from RNAcentral.